CUUUUCUAAAUGUUCCGCUUGAUUUAUAUGUCAACAAUUGUGGAACUUUGAAAUCCUAUUUUUCAAUACCUGUAGCAAAAUAAUAUACCAGCGAUCAGUAUUAUUAUAUUUGCCAUUUAUCAAGGACAUGGAACAUCACUCGGAGAAAGGAAGGGAGGGAAGAAUAAAGCUAAAUAAAAAAGGCAAACGCUGGAGGCCCUAAGAGGCACUCGUGUGAUAGGUCCAAGGAUAGGUCACUUCGAAACAAAUCUGACGUUGAUUCCCUCGUACUGUGAAAUGCUGACGCUGAAAAUCAAAUAUGGGCUGUGUCUUUCAUUAGAUUUCUAAAUUCCCUGAAAAAUAAAUAUAUGAAUAAAAAAUCAAUGGAAAAAAUG
Armigeres subalbatus is the source of this 374-nucleotide long non-coding RNA. RefSeq lists it as uncharacterized. Lineage: Eukaryota; Metazoa; Arthropoda; Insecta; Diptera; Culicidae. The transcript is spliced from 3 exons. The record is from RefSeq and is a predicted model, not a curated record.